CGGCUACCACAUCCAAGGAAGGCAGCAGGCACGCAAAUUACCCACUCCCGGCACGGGGAGGUAGUGACAAAAAAUAACGAUACGGGACUCAUCCGAGGCCCCGUAAUCGGAAUGAGAACACCCUAAAUCCUUUAACGAGGAUCUAUUGGAGGGCAAGUCUGGUGCCAGCAGCCGCGGUAAUUCCAGCUCCAAUAGCGUAUAUUAAAGUUGUUGCGGUUAAAAAGCUCGUAGUUGGUUCUGCGUGCCACGCUGUCGGUUCACCGCCUGUCGGUGCAACUGGCAUGCCGUGGCAUGUCCUGUCGGUGGCCGACAGGCUUCGCGGCGCGCCCUACGCGCUCACGCGUGUAGGUAGUUGCGCCGCGUCGUCCUCGAGGCCGACUCAAUCCUACCGCGGUGCUCUUAAACGAGUGUCGAGGUAGGCCGACACUGUUUACUUUGAACAAAUUAGAGUGCUUCAAGCAGGCUUUUAAAGCAGCCUGAAUAGUGGUGCAUGGAAUAAUGGAACAGGACCUUGGUUCUAUUUUGUUGGUUUUCGGAAUCCAAGGUAAUGAUCAAUAAGGACAGGCGGGGGCAUUCGUAUUGCGACGUUAGACUUGGCAAAUGCUUUCGCGGUGAAAUUCUUGGAUCGUCGCAAGACGCACUAGAGCGAAAGCAUUUGCCAAGUAUGUCUUAAUUGAUCAAGAACGAAAGUUAGAGGUUCGAAGCGAUCAGAUACCGCCCUAGUUCUAACCAUAAACGAUGCCAGCCAGCGAUCCGCCGAUGUUCCUCCGAUGACUCGGCGGGGAGCUUUCCCCGGGAAACCAAAGCUUUUGGGUUCCGGGGGAAGUAUGGUUGCAAAGCUGAAACUUAAAGGAAUUGACGGAAGGGCACCACCAGGAGUGGAGCCUGCGGCUUAAUUUGACUCAACACGGGAAACCUCACCAGGCCCGGACAUUGGAAGGAUUGACAGAUCGAUAGCUCUUUCUCGAUUCAGUGGGUAGUGGUGCAUGGCCGUUCUUAGUUGGUGGACUGAUUUGUCUGGUUAAUUCCGAUAACGAACGAGACUCUGACCUAUUAACUAGGCGUCCCGGUAUAUAUAUACUACCGGCGAGAUCUAUUCUUCUU
This 1104-nucleotide ribosomal RNA is filed under the name Urostylis westwoodii. RNAcentral describes it as "SSU rRNA". It matches the Rfam family "Eukaryotic small subunit ribosomal RNA", at positions 404 to 1412 of the family's 1831-position model. The record is from RNAcentral. Lineage: Eukaryota; Metazoa; Arthropoda; Insecta; Hemiptera; Urostylididae.